This 466-nucleotide ribosomal RNA is filed under the name uncultured bacterium. RNAcentral describes it as "bacterial SSU rRNA". It matches the Rfam family "Bacterial small subunit ribosomal RNA", at positions 332 to 793 of the family's 1533-position model. The record is from RNAcentral.
AGCACUCCUAGGAGGCAGCAGUGGGGAAUAUUGCACAAUGGGCGCAAGCCUGAUGCAGCCAUGCCGCGUGUAUGAAGAAGGCCUUCGGGUUGUAAAGUACUUUCAGCAGUGAGGAAGGUGGGUAUGUUAAUAGCAUAUUCAUUUGACGUUAGCUGCAGAAGAAGCACCGGCUAACUCCGUGCCAGCAGCCGCGGUAAUACGGAGGGUGCGAGCGUUAAUCGGAAUUACUGGGCGUAAAGCGCAUGCAGGUGGUUUGUUAAGUCAGAUGUGAAAGCCCGGGGCUCAACCUCGGAAUUGCAUUUGAAACUGGCAAACUAGAGUACUGUAGAGGGGGUAGAAUUUCAGGUGUAGCGGUGAAAUGCGUAGAGAUCUGAAGGAAUACCGGUGGCGAAGGCGGCCCCCUGGACAGAUACUGACACUCAGAUGCGAAAGCGUGGGGAGCAAACAGGAUUAGAUACCCUGGUAG